UUGUGCGUGUUCCAAUAGUUCU
This 22-nucleotide microRNA is filed under the name Manduca sexta (tobacco hornworm). Its description in RNAcentral is "mse-miR-3286". Lineage: Eukaryota; Metazoa; Arthropoda; Insecta; Lepidoptera; Sphingidae. The record is from miRBase by way of RNAcentral.